Molecule: unclassified non-coding RNA, 340 nt
Filed under: soil metagenome
Description: partial contains 5.8S ribosomal RNA, internal transcribed spacer 2, and large subunit ribosomal RNA
Rfam family: 5.8S ribosomal RNA (bases 1-120)
Source: RNAcentral
GAUGAAGAACGCAGCGAAAUGCGAUAAGUAAUGUGAAUUGCAGAAUUCAGUGAAUCAUCGAAUCUUUGAACGCACAUUGCGCCCGCCAGCAUUCUGGCGGGCAUGCCUGUCCGAGCGUCAUUUCAACCAUCAAGCCCCGGGCUUGUGUUGGGGAACUGCGGCUGCCCGCAGGCCCCGAAAUGCAGUGGCGGGCUCGCGGACACACCGAGCGUAGUAGCAUCAACCUCGCUCAGGGCGUGCCGCGGGGACCUAGCCGUAAAGCAGCCUUUUCUCAGCACUAGGUUGACCUCGGAUCAGGUAGGAGGACCCGCUGAACUUAAGCAUAUCAAUAAGCGGAGGA